UGAAAUGCGAAGACAAGGAAUAGUAACUGUCCUACUUUUUUCAGAGAGUUGCCGGUUGGUGUGAGGCAAUAAAAGAAAUACAGUGAACUCGCCUUUGAGCAGCAAACCUGAAUACAAAUAGUAGGGUUUGACGGAAUCUCACCGUUACAGGGGAACAGCAUGACAGUGCUGAUGAGUGCGUAUUUGAUACGAAGUAGAGUGGUACCGCGGAACAAUGGCUUUCGUCUCUACA
Molecule: non-coding RNA, 232 nt
Filed under: Roseburia sp.
Lineage: Bacteria; Bacillati; Bacillota; Clostridia; Lachnospirales; Lachnospiraceae
Description: T-box sequence
Rfam family: T-box leader
About the family: Uncharged tRNA acts as the effector for transcription antitermination of genes in the T-box leader family. T-boxes are found upstream of many aminoacyl-tRNA synthetase genes and some amino acid biosynthetic genes usually in Gram-positive bacteria.
Source: RNAcentral